Octopus sinensis (East Asian common octopus) is the source of this 178-nucleotide long non-coding RNA. RefSeq lists it as uncharacterized. The transcript has 3 exons. The record is from RefSeq and is a predicted model, not a curated record. NCBI's taxonomy places the organism in Eukaryota, Metazoa, Mollusca, Cephalopoda, Octopoda, Octopodidae.
UCUCAACCAAUUCUAUACUAUAAUUUUUGUCACAAAGUGACUCUAAUUGCAGGUAGAUACAGGUAAAUUCAACAAAAUAUAAAAUUAUUAAAAUUUUGUUCAAACAUCGCUAUAGAAAAUGGGUUAUUAGCUAAUACUCAAUUGGGUAUACAAUUAAAUUAUACGAUAGAAUCCCUUA